Molecule: non-coding RNA, 814 nt
Organism: Parasteatoda tepidariorum (common house spider)
Lineage: Eukaryota; Metazoa; Arthropoda; Arachnida; Araneae; Theridiidae
Source: RefSeq, a predicted model, not a curated record
CACUAACAGGUUCUCAAGAUCCGUUAUUUUGGAGCCGUUACUUAAAAGUUGCUUUUAAUAAACUUGAUGUCUUAACAUUAAAGCCAGUAUUACGAUACACAGCUCUAAUCUGAAACGUGUUUCUGAAAUCUAAGUUGCAUUCCGGUCUUCAAUCAGAUCAACAAAAAAUCCUAAGUUAUUUAUUUACCUUAAAGUUUUAUGUUAAAGUGCACUUUUUGAAUAAUGUUUCUUUUCUUUGCUUUAAUAAUUUUUUCAGGAUUUUUAAGUAUUCAAGCUUAUAAUUCUUCACCUUACUAAGAUUGUACAGCAUUAUCGAGCUUUAAUGGUUCGAUUGAUGAGAAUGAUGCACUGACGAGGUCAAUUUGGUUUAAUCAGCAUUCUUCUGAAAGACCUUUGCGUUUUUGUUGGAAGAUUUCAGUACCAAAAGAUCACUUCAUUCGUUUAAAGCUUAGCAAUUUAUUUCUUGAUAGCCAGGAUUGUAGCAAUACAUAUUUAGAAAUCCGCACCGACAACGAUGAAGAAUAUAAAUUCUGCAGAAGGGAGACAUCAUUUGUACCUAUAACUGUUCUUUCAGACGUUGAAAUUAAAUACCAUGCUUAUUAUGCAAUGAGGUUUAAUUUAGAUUAUGAAAUAAAUUAACUCUGUUAAACACUACAACAUUUCAAAUCAUGGGUUGCAGAAAACUGUCUCAAUUUCAUGUUUGUCGUCGGAUUGGUUUUCGAAUCCUGCCUAUGCACGUGUUUCAAGAGAUCACAAAAGAUUUUUCCUUCUUCAGCAUUCAUAUUUAUAUUAAAAUCACCCUCAAGACAAUAAU